AUCCUGGCUCAGAUUGAACGCUGGCGGCAGGCCUAACACAUGCAAGUCGAACGGUAGCACAGAGGAGCUUGCUCCUUGGGUGACGAGUGGCGGACGGGUGAGUAAUGUCUGGGAAACUGCCYGAUGGAGGGGGAUAACUACUGGAAACGGUAGCUAAUACCGCAUAACGUCGCAAGACCAAAGAGGGGGACCUUCGGGCCUCUUGCCAUCGGAUGUGCCCAGAUGGGAUUAGCUAGUAGGUGGGGUAACGGCUCACCUAGGCGACGAUCCCUAGCUGGUCUGAGAGGAUGACCAGCCACACUGGAACUGAGACACGGUCCAGACUCCUACGGGAGGCAGCAGUGGGGAAUAUUGCACAAUGGGCGCAAGCCUGAUGCAGCCAUGCCGCGUGUAUGAAGAAGGCCUUCGGGUUGUAAAGUACUUUCAGCGAGGAGGAAGGYGUUGKGUUAAUAACCGCAGCRAUUGAC
Molecule: ribosomal RNA, 467 nt
Filed under: Citrobacter freundii
Lineage: Bacteria; Pseudomonadati; Pseudomonadota; Gammaproteobacteria; Enterobacterales; Enterobacteriaceae
Description: bacterial SSU rRNA
Rfam family: Bacterial small subunit ribosomal RNA
Source: RNAcentral